CAGUGACUGAAUCCAUUUGAGCCACACUAGACUCUAAAGCUGCAGGAUUGUGUGUGUUAGUCAGCCAUUAGAGUGGUGAAUUAGAGGAUAACUUCAUAGACGAUCUUUCUGUUGGCUUGGCAAGUGGACAGGGACAUCCAUGGUAACCGAUUUAUUGGCAUCAUUGCAAGACAAUUUCAGUCAAUACAAAAUUUAUGGAUUUGGGGGAAUAGGUUCCAUCCUGGAAACAACUUAUUCACCUAAGGAUUUCCCUUUGGAAACUGAGCAGAAUAUUAAUAGCCCACCAACAAUUGAAUCAAGCGUUGUUGAGAACUACCCCUUUAAAAAAGUACAUGAACACAAGAAGAAACACUGGGGUUAUGGAGGAAUAGCUCUUAUGGUUGGUGGAGGAAUUCUGUUGGUAAGCUGUGUGGUGCUCCUACUUGCUGUCUGCAUUAAUUGAGCUCAUUCACAAAAUCACAAAAGCUUGGAGAGCUAUGAAAGUCCAUGGUUAACCAUAUUGGCACAGUGAUUGAAUCCAUUUGAGCUGCAUCUAAAACUGCAGGAUUGGGUAUGAUAUCAACCACCAAAGUGGUGAAUUAGAAGAGAGUCAACCACCAGAGUGGUGAAUU
This is a long non-coding RNA of Vitis riparia (riverbank grape), 611 nucleotides long. RefSeq lists it as uncharacterized. The record is from RefSeq and is a predicted model, not a curated record. Lineage: Eukaryota; Viridiplantae; Streptophyta; Magnoliopsida; Vitales; Vitaceae. The transcript is spliced from 4 exons.